UGUGGGGUUUUUCAGGUGCGAAAGGAUAACCAAGGGUUCAGUUUUAGUUUGUGUAGUUGGAGCAAAGUUCCAUGGUUUGGUUUAGCUAGAGAAUUUUUACGGUACCCUGGCACUCCAUUGUAUAGAAAGGAGUACCAAACAAAUCCAACCGUUCAUAUGGGAGGGAUAUGUUAGACUUUUUAGUUGUCUUUUUUUUUUCAAUCGUCCUAGCCUGGUGUUCCCUUCGCCCUCGCAGACACGCACUGCCGUCCGCAGUUCUAGUUUUCUCUCAAUCCUCGCCGGCAGGAAGAGUGUUUAUUAUUUCAACAGCUUAUUCAGCACAUGAAUUUUAAGAAGAAGGAAACAUGUAUUUACACAUUCCGUUUAAUUACCGCUUCGAGUGAGACGAGGUGCCAAAAUUCCCUAGUUUUGUCAAUUGAGGAACUAAAGUCUAUGAAAAAAAAAUUAAAAGCAACUUCUACUUGGUGCCAAUCGAGAGAUGAAAAAAAAUAUUUUUUCCCUUCUACAAAACACUGUAACAAAAUGUUGUUAUGGUUCUUUUACUCUUAUUAUAGAUAGGCCUGUGAAUGGUCCAUGAAUUGAGCCAUAGCUAAAGAGCUCUUUUACGAUACUCCGAAAUUACUAUGGACCGUCUAUUCGAUGUAAUCUAAUGGCUAAUACGGCAUGGUACUCCAUCAGAAAUUUUUAGGAGUACGUACUAAAAAUAGGUGGAGUACCUUAAUGUGAAGGGCAAAAUUGUGCCAGU
RNAcentral lists this long non-coding RNA (745 nucleotides) under Brachypodium distachyon (stiff brome). Its description in RNAcentral is "long non-coding RNA (BDIS_LNC003152)". The record is from RNAcentral. Lineage: Eukaryota; Viridiplantae; Streptophyta; Magnoliopsida; Poales; Poaceae.